RNAcentral lists this microRNA precursor (181 nucleotides) under Oryza brachyantha (malo sina). RNAcentral describes it as "MIR812 microRNA precursor family". It matches the Rfam family "MIR812 microRNA precursor family". Lineage: Eukaryota; Viridiplantae; Streptophyta; Magnoliopsida; Poales; Poaceae. The record is from Rfam by way of RNAcentral.
AAUAAAUUAAUUUUUCACCUUUUACCUAUAAUUUUUUACUCUUCGUCUUAUUCAAAUUUUUUUAUUGAUAUUUUUGUUUUUAUUAGAUGAUAAAUCAUGAAUAGUACUUUACGUAUGACUAAUUUUUUUCUAAUUUUCUAAAAAAAAUAAGACGAAUGGUCAAACGGUGGACACAGAAACC